GUAGGUGGCAAGCGUUGUCCGGAAUUAUUGGGCGUAAGGCGCGCGCAGGCGGUUCUUUAAGUCUGAUGUGAAAGCCCACGGCUCAACCGUGGAGGGUCAUUGGAAACUGGAGAACUUGAGUACAGAAGAGGAAAGCGGAAUUCCACGUGUAGCGGUGAAAUGCGUAGAGAUGUGGAGGAACACCAGUGGCGAAGGCGGCUUUCUGGUCUGUAACUGACGCUGAGGCGCGAAAGCGUGGGGAGCAAACAGGAUUAGAUACCCUGGUAGUCCACGCCGUAAACGAUGAGUGCUAAGUGUUAGGGGGGUUUCCGCCCCCCUUAGUGCUGCAGCUAACGCAUUAAGCACUCCGCCUGGGAGUACGGCCGCAAGGCUG
Molecule: ribosomal RNA, 373 nt
Filed under: uncultured organism
Description: partial 16S ribosomal RNA
Rfam family: Bacterial small subunit ribosomal RNA
Source: RNAcentral